CUGUUACUCCCUUCGUUUCGAAUUACUUGUCGCAAGUAUGAAUGUAUCUAGAUGUAUUUUAGUUCUAGAUACAUCCAUUUCUACAACGAGUAAUUUAGAAUGGAGGGAGUAGUUG
This is a non-coding RNA of Triticum aestivum (bread wheat), 115 nucleotides long. Lineage: Eukaryota; Viridiplantae; Streptophyta; Magnoliopsida; Poales; Poaceae. The record is from Rfam.